RNAcentral lists this ribosomal RNA (301 nucleotides) under uncultured bacterium. Its description in RNAcentral is "partial 16S ribosomal RNA". It matches the Rfam family "Bacterial small subunit ribosomal RNA", at positions 509 to 809 of the family's 1533-position model. The record is from RNAcentral.
CAGUAGCCGCGGGAAUACGAAGGGGGCUAGCGUUGUUCGGAUUUACUGGGCGUAAAGCGCACGUAGGCGGACUUUUAAGUCAGGGGUGAAAUCCCGGGGCUCAACCCCGGAACUGCCUUUGAUACUGGAAGUCUUGAGUAUGGUAGAGGUGAGUGGAAUUCCGAGUGUAGAGGUGAAAUUCGUAGAUAUUCGGAGGAACACCAGUGGCGAAGGCGGCUCACUGGACCAUUACUGACGCUGAGGUGCGAAAGCGUGGGGAGCAAACAGGAUUAGAUACCCGCGUAGUCCCUGUCUCUUAUAA